GUAUGAAUGGAAACUAAUGUUGGAGUAGCCUGUUGUUCAUAUUUAACCAAUCCAAAGGAUGCUGCCUACCUGUCUCCAAAGCACCUACCUUAGUAGGUAACAAUUUUCAUUUUGGAUGAUUUCGAAGGCAGCAUCCCUUGAUAACGCAUUGACAUUGCACCAAGCGCAAUAUGUUUGUAGCCACAUUGUAGCUACUGUAGCAGCGUGAGUAGCAAGCGCUAGCAAUUUAGUGGACAACUAUCCUAAAAUGGACAUAUCUGACAUGAAUAACAAGUAACAUUUUCCUCAGUACCUGUAAUUAAUGAAGUGGACACCGACCAGAAUAAUUAUCCUACGGUAUAGGGUCCUCCUCUCGCAUAUUGCUCGGUCUGCUGCUCCAUCGUUGUGGUCAGGACAGGACAAGGAUCGCCCUGACUUUCAAAGAUGCCUGAAUUGCUAUGCCUUUCUGGUUGGCUGGCAAGUUUCACCAUCCAAUUAGUAUUGCAAUAGUGCAUGUUUCACCAUGGCACGGACCGUGGAGAUACGUUGGCACAUGAGAAUUAUUAGUAUACAGUGUAUG
This is a long non-coding RNA of Oncorhynchus tshawytscha (Chinook salmon), 559 nucleotides long. Lineage: Eukaryota; Metazoa; Chordata; Actinopteri; Salmoniformes; Salmonidae. The record is from Ensembl.